CGAAAUAGAAGCCCGCUGGAUUGGGUAAUUAGCUGUUAACUAAUUUUUCGCGGGAUCAAGGCCCGCCUGUUUAG
RNAcentral lists this transfer RNA (74 nucleotides) under Anolis opalinus. RNAcentral describes it as "tRNA-Asn". The record is from RNAcentral. Lineage: Eukaryota; Metazoa; Chordata; Lepidosauria; Squamata; Anolidae.